RNAcentral lists this ribosomal RNA (255 nucleotides) under Triticum aestivum (bread wheat). RNAcentral describes it as "partial small subunit ribosomal RNA". The record is from RNAcentral. Lineage: Eukaryota; Viridiplantae; Streptophyta; Magnoliopsida; Poales; Poaceae.
CGAUGGUUACCUCCUCCUAAUGGCGCCGUGAAAAUUAAUGUUGAUGGUGCUAUCGCAAGAUCGCAUAAUGGAGGAGCUAUUGCGGCAAUAUGUAGAGACCAAACGGGCCUAUAUUUGGGAUCUUCGGACGUGGUCUUCCAAGGAAUCAAUGAUCCUCUAAUCCUGGAGACUUAUGCUUGCUGUGAAGCUUUAGCACUUGCAGAUGAUCUUGCCGGGCAAAAUAUUUGUUGGCCUCGGACUGUCAAGAAGCGGUGA